Molecule: ribosomal RNA, 641 nt
Filed under: uncultured archaeon
Lineage: Archaea
Description: partial 16S ribosomal RNA
Rfam family: Archaeal small subunit ribosomal RNA
Source: RNAcentral
AGGGAAAGGCCUCUUUGAGCCCUUAGAUGGGCACCGUGCCCCAUCAGGUAGUGUUGUGGUAACGGCCCACCUAACCUAUGAUAGGUGCGGGCGGUGGGAGCCGGAGCCCGGAGAUGUGCACCUGACACGGGCCUCAGGCCUUCGGGGGGCAGCAAGGGCGGAAAUUCUCCCAAUCGCGGAAGGGGGGGGGAGGGAGCCCCACGCGCCUCCGCUGAAACUGGCUGUUUCCGGAUAUAAAGACCCUCCGGGAAUAAGGGCUGGGCAAGGCCGGUGGCAGCCGCCGCGGUGAUACCAGGGGCCCGAGAGUCCCCUCUAUUAUUGGGCCUAAAGCGUCCGUAGCCGGGCCCGUAAGUCCCCGGUGAAAUCCCCCGGCUCAACGGUGGGGUUUGGGGGGGAUUCUGGGGGCCGGGGGCGGGGGGGGCCCCGGGGGUUCCCGGGGAGAGGGGGUGAAUCUUAAAUCCCCAGGGGCCCCCCAGUGGGGAAGGCUCCCGGCUGACGCGUCCCCGACGGUGAGGAGGAAGCCCAGGGGCAAAAACCGGUUUAUACCCCCGUGUACUCAUCGCUAAAAAGGAUCGGGUUAUGUCGGGCCGAGCUUCGACCUCGCCCAGUGCCGCAGAGCUUUCUUUAACCCGCCCCCUGGG